GCUGGCGGCAGGCCUAACACAUGCAAGUCGAGCGGUAGAGAGAAGCUUGCUUCUCUUGAGAGCGGCGGACGGGUGAGUAAUGCCUAGGAAUCUGCCUGGUAGUGGGGGAUAACGUUCGGAAACGGACGCUAAUACCGCAUACGUCCUACGGGAGAAAGCAGGGGACCUUCGGGCCUUGCGCUAUCAGAUGAGCCUAGGUCGGAUUAGCUAGUUGGUGGGGUAACGGCUCACCAAGGCGACGAUCCGUAACUGGUCUGAGAGGAUGAUCAGUCACACUGGAACUGAGACACGGUCCAGACUCCUACGGGAGGCAGCAGUGGGGAAUAUUGGACAAUGGGCGAAAGCCUGAUCCAGCCAUGCCGCGUGUGUGAAGAAGGUCUUCGGAUUGUAAAGCACUUUAAGUUGGGAGGAAGGGUUGUAGAUUAAUACUCUGCAAUUUUGACGUUACCGACAGAAUAAGCACCGGCUAACUCUGUGCCAGCAGCCGCGGUAAUACAGAGGGUGCAAGCGUUAAUCGGAAUUACUGGGCGUAAAGCGCGCGUAGGUGGUUAGUUAAGUUGGAUGUGAAAUCCCCGGGCUCAACCUGGGAACUGCAUUCAAAACUGACUGACUAGAGUAUGGUAGAGGGUGGUGGAAUUUCCUGUGUAGCGGUGAAAUGCGUAGAUAUAGGAAGGAACACCAGUGGCGAAGGCGACCACCUGGACUGAUACUGACACUGAGGUGCGAAAGCGUGGGGAGCAAAC
RNAcentral lists this ribosomal RNA (743 nucleotides) under uncultured bacterium. RNAcentral describes it as "bacterial SSU rRNA". It matches the Rfam family "Bacterial small subunit ribosomal RNA", at positions 35 to 773 of the family's 1533-position model. The record is from RNAcentral.